Molecule: long non-coding RNA, 4076 nt
Organism: Dromaius novaehollandiae (emu)
Lineage: Eukaryota; Metazoa; Chordata; Aves; Casuariiformes; Dromaiidae
Exons: 3
Source: RefSeq, a predicted model, not a curated record
CCCUGCCCUGCCCUGCCCUGCCCUGCCCUGCCGGCAGCUGCGCGGCCGCUGUGGGCUCCCUCCCCGCGGAGCAGCGGGUAGGGGCGGCCACGCCGCGGCCUGGCCUCUGCGCCCGCUCCGCAGCGCCCUCCGCGGCAGGCGGCGGGGCUCGGCUCGGCACUCCGCGGGGGUGGGCGCACCUGUUGCUCUUCCCUUGCCGCGGAGCGUGUUUGUGUUCCGGGGGCAGCAGGAGCGCUGUCCCCUUCAUGCGGCAGGCGCUGCCGUGGCGUUUCCCCCGGGUGUCACAGGCCCGGCACGCCCGGGUACCAGCAAUGAGCCUUACGGGGGAAAGUGGCCCACCAUCUCGGGACUCCUUGGUCUGACCUACCGUGGAUAUUCCUGCAGACCCUGCGGGAGGGGACAGGGACAAGCGAGACACCUCAGAAAGCAAGGGUGAAUUGCAGCACGUAGAUAAGCUCCAAAUUCCCAUCUGUGUUGUACUUAAGUUCCCCUGCAAGUCUACAAGGGCUAUUGAAGUUGUAUCCCACAGGAAGAGGAUCAGGUUCAAGAGAAGAUUGCUUUAUAAUCUAUUCCAGCAACACUGUAAAAAAAGAAGAUAGAUAUACCUCUGUGUGGAAAUGACAGACUUACAACAAGCACCUUUUCCAGGACCAGGAUCAGACACACACCCACAGUAAGCCUGAACCUCUGAUGGGGGAGUAGCAACAGUCAUAUGGUGAGAGAACGCAUUGAAUGCUGAACCUUCAGUCCAAUUUGUCUGGCCAGGUUGUGGUACAGCAGCGAGGGUGACAAAGAAAGAAUGGUGAAGAUGGAGCAGUUAAAAGCAUGAUGCCAUAUCCAACUCAGGCAAAAGAUUCACCACCUCUGCCUUAAGGAUGAUGCUUAUUUUUUCCUACCUCCGGAAAUCAAAAAACGUAUUUCUUUCUCACAGUUGUGUCCCCACCACCACUUUCAUGAUAAUAUCUUAUAAUGAAUCUCUCUAAAUUUUCAAAUGCUGCAAGGCCUGGCAAUUUUGUAUUGGGAAGAUUUCUGAUUGUAGCUUUCAUUACUCAAUUAUUAUUAUUCAAUCCUUUGUGCGCAAGCAUCCUUAUGUUCAGUAGAGCUUAUAGCCCUGCUAAUAGCUAUGCUUGUUUCUAAGUUACGCAUGCCAAAAGCUAUAUCCUUCCAUGCAAGCCCUUCAAAAUUACUUUGCUACUUCUGCACACAACUUCCAUUGUGAUUAGAGCAGCACCAGGGAUUGCCCUAAGAAUUUCAAAAGUCAAGUUGCCAAACAAAGUUUAUUUUACAGUCAACCCUAAAUAAUAUGUAUCACAGGGAAAAUCUAAUCUCUGAGGAAUGAUUAACAGCACAGGGCUGAUUCUAAUGAAUUAACACUACACCACAUAUAUCUAUAUGAUCUUGUACUGCGCAGUACUAUGUCCCGGUUACCUGAUGAUACUUUUUCCAGUACUUGUACUGUCUCUUUGCUUGUCUUCUUUUCUUUCACUACAUGUCUACCAGACAGGAGCACAUUUAAUGCUUUCAUUAGGUCAGAAAAAACAAAAACAAACUGAAGACUGUCAGGAAGAAUAAAUGUAUCAGCCCUGUUGUUCCAGUGCUACUGUACCUGGACUGUUGAAAGAACAUAUGCUGAACUAAUUUUCAUUUCAUUUUGUUUACAUCAGACAUAACCAAUACAAACUGGCUCUGUAGAAUGCACAGCAAGGAGGAUAACAUGUAAGAAGUGAGCACAAAAAAGCUCUCAGAAGUAGCUGCCUGUGUAUUCUCUGUGCCUAUGCUUUUAUUAGAAUCAUAGCGAAUGUCUGCUAGGAAAUGCAUGGCUUGAAAAGUAAUCAGACUUCAGUCUAGUAGGGAGGAUAUAGAAAGAGGAAAGCUAUGACAAGUAGGUAAGAAAAUAAUAUCACAUUGAUCAGGUGUGUGACUUUUAUUUUCCCUGCCUCCUGUCCACUACCUAUGCACCCAUCUGAAAUGUAAUCCACCCAUGACUGAGGGCUUACUCUGUGAUGGUGCAUUUAUUAAUCAACCCAAUUUAGAUCUCUCUGGGCCUAUCCAAAAAGCAUGCACUAUUAUCUGUCACAGCCCAUGACAGCUAUUCUCUAUCUGUCCCACUCUGUUCUAGUUGCACUACAGCCAAUACUCUCAGUUUUGUUUGUGUGAAUUUGUUCAUCUCGAGAUAACAACACUUUGAUAUCUAAGUUUUUCAUUCUACCAGAUUUCUGAGCUCUCUCUGAGCUUUCUCUUGCUUUAUGAACAAUUCCUGUCCAUCUUUUUUUAGCUGAUGUCAGCUUAUAAACCAGAGCAAAGUAAUGUUCUAUUUGAAGUAACAAUUACAGAGGAAAUGAGUGGAAAAUGCAUUUGAAUUUUUUAAUGGAGGAGCUAAAGAAGCAACAAAGUCAAAGCAAUAAAUAAACAAAUCUUUUCAUAAACUUAACAAUAUGCCUGACUAUGAUAGCUGCAUAAAAGAGUUAGAUAAAAGAAAACUAUCCCAACACCAAAAAUAAAAGGUUAAAAACAGGGCAAAACAGAAUCCAAUUAAUUCAGUCCAUUUUGGCCUGAUAUGGAGCUCAAGGACAACUAUGAACCUGUUAAUGGCCUUUCUAAUGGGGAUUGGUCCUAAGCCUAAAGACAUCAUAAGAAGCAGAGGCAUUUAUGCUUUCACAAAAACAUCUUCUAGCUCCUUUUUCAUUUUAAUGUAAGUCAAACAUGGACAAAAAAUAUUUUAAAACAAAUUCAUCUAAGCUUCACCAAGUUACUAAGCAAAAUGAUGCUUUUAAUGUAAUGUAAUGAUACUUGUAAUGUAAAAGCAAGAUCUUUACUUGGAUGUUCCUGGUUGACAAGAUUCUUGAAAUACUAUCACAUGAAAAGGAAGAUUUUUGCUUGCAAGCUUGUCUGCUGAAGAAUAGCUGCAGUGACACACAGUCAUCUUGCAGUAAUAGCAGCUAUGACUGGUAGAAAAGCCUCUAGUAUAAGAAAUAAUACAAUUCCAAGUUCCACAGAUUCAGGAAAAGUGAAACUUCAGCUAAUGUACUGUUGUGAACAUGUCAUUGUUAGCCUAUGCUUUUGACAUGCAAAAUAGCAGGACAAAAUGUUUCAUAAGUAUAUAAGAAAUACAUCAUAAGAUCCUGGAAAAAAAAAUAGUACAGUAGCUGCAAAAGGGAGUUCAAACUCAAAAUUAGAGCAGUUGUAUGAGGGUAAGAGGAACUUUCUCUUCCUGACAUGUCCCUUGGCUUUUCUUAGUGAAUUCACUAAAGAACUGUCUAUGUUCUGUAGUAUAAGUCUCUACUUAACACUUACAGUGGCUAAGCAUGGUCAUUUAAUUACUCUCUUUCCAUAUUUCCUUUCCUUUCUGAAUUAGAUAAUUUGCUAUUCUUGGUGUUUCCAAUUUCCAAUACAAUUGUCAAUACUACCAAUUAUAAAGAUCAGAAUGAACCAGAAAUAAAUGUUCUUUAUACCCAGCAAGGAGUCACGGAGAUGGAUUCUUCUCAGCAAGGCCGGCUCCUUCAUUCCCAUUCCUUCUGCACACCUGCAUUAAGUUUUGAAUGCACGAGAAUAACAAACGCAAUCAAAGUCAGUUCUAGUAGCUCCUAAGAGCCACUAGUCAGGAAAGCUGUGUAGUUCAAUCCUGAGAACUCAGUCCUGGAUAAAGUUGUUAUAUCUAGACCACUUCUGUGGCAUUUUUCUAGAAAAUGCUGAUUCCAGAUCUCUUCACAAGGCACUGCACUAGCAAAAAGGACCUUUUCAAAGUUAGAACUUUCUGCGCUUCAUCUCACAUUCCCACUGACACAGUCUGUGGAACUAGACAACUUCUGACUUUGCUUAUAAGGCAAAACACUGGUUAACUUCCAUUCUGGUCCUAUACCAAACAACUUCUAACUUUGCUGCUAGACAGCAAUAAUAGAUUUAUUUCUCCUAUUGCCUUAAUCUCCACAGCCACACUUCAAACCUAGGCAGUUCCUCAAAUCAGCACGUCCUAUCCUGAAGGAAAGACCUCUAUAUUGUUAUACUGCACAAAGUACAGUUGCUCAUGUUAGUGAACACAGUCGAACCAUAAAGUAUAAAAGUUCCAGUAAUAAUAA